CACUGACACUGUGGCCCGAAAGCGUGGGGAGCUACCAGGGAGUUGAUAUCCCUCGUAGUAUCACGCCCUUUAAUGUUUAGAACUUGAUGUUGGGUGCAAUUUGGCAUGCAGUAUCGAAACUAAAGCCUUAAAUUUCCACGCCUGGGGGGUAUUGUCGCAAGGAUGAAACUCAAAGGAAUUGACGGUUGAUCGGACAAGCGGUCGAGUUUGUGGUUUAAUUCGAUGCAACGGGAAGAACCUUACCUGGCUUUGACAAGUCGAGAACUUUCCCGAGAUGGGUUGCGGCCUUCGGGAAAUCGAACACCGGUUCCGCCUGGCUUCGUCAGCUUGUUUCCCUACAAAAUGGGUUUAGUACCCCAAGGAGUGCUUCCCUUCUCCGUUAUUGGCAGGUCCGACUGGUGGGCACUCUACAGUGUCCGCCGGUGCCAAAUCCGAGGAGGGUGGGGGUGACGUCUAGUCAUCUGUCGCUUACGGCCCGUGUCCCACCCGUCUCCAAUCGUCCGUCACAGGCCUUUACACUGCCGACGUUCAGCCAAUCCCAGAAACCCUAUUUCAGUCCGGAUUGGAGUCUGCAACUCGACUCCAUGAAGUCGGAAUCGCUAGUAAUCGCAGAUCAGCAUUGCUGCGGUGAAUACGUUCCCGGGCCUUGUACACACCGCCCGUCACACCAUGGGAGUGUGUGUUGCUACCAGAAGUCAAGGUAGUCUUAACCUCAAGGAGGACGCUGCC
RNAcentral lists this ribosomal RNA (729 nucleotides) under Bacillus sp. (in: firmicutes). Its description in RNAcentral is "bacterial SSU rRNA". It matches the Rfam family "Bacterial small subunit ribosomal RNA", at positions 738 to 1457 of the family's 1533-position model. The record is from RNAcentral. Lineage: Bacteria; Bacillati; Bacillota; Bacilli; Caryophanales; Bacillaceae.